CCUGCCCCUAGAGACACUGCAGCUGUGGCGGCCCUGGCACGUGUCAGUGGGUGGCAGAGAGGAGAGAGGCUAUGCUUACUCUCAGUGUUCCGACCUGUGAAUAUCUGAGUGACCAGGAGCCUAACAAU
Molecule: small nucleolar RNA, 128 nt
Organism: Meriones unguiculatus (Mongolian gerbil)
Lineage: Eukaryota; Metazoa; Chordata; Mammalia; Rodentia; Muridae
Source: Ensembl